AUUGAACGCUGGCGGCAUGCCUUACACAUGCCAGUCGAACGGCAGCAUGAUCUAGCUUGCUAGAUUGAUGGCGAGUGGCGAACGGGUGAGUAAUACAUCGGAACGUGCCCUGUAGUGGGGGAUAACUAGUCGAAAGAUUAGCUAAUACCGCAUACGACCUGAGGGUGAAAGUGGGGGACCGCAAGGCCUCAUGCUAUAGGAGCGGCCGAUGUCUGAUUAGCUAGUUGGUGAGGUAAAGGCUCACCAAGGCGACGAUCAGUAGCUGGUCUGAGAGGACGAUCAGCCACACUGGGACUGAGACACGGCCCAGAAUCCGAGGGGAGGCAGCAGUGGGGAAUUUUGGACAAUGGGCGAAAGCCUGAUCCAGCAAUGCCGCGUGUGUGAAGAAGGCCUUCGGGUUGUAAAGCACUUUUGUCCGGAAAGAAAUGGCUCUGGUUAAUACCUGGGGUCGAUGACGGUACCGGAAGAAUAAGGACCGGCUAACUACGU
Molecule: ribosomal RNA, 489 nt
Filed under: uncultured bacterium
Lineage: Bacteria
Description: partial 16S ribosomal RNA
Rfam family: Bacterial small subunit ribosomal RNA
Source: RNAcentral